CACACACAAAGAGUACAAUGCACAAGGGCUCUUCUUUCUCCUUAUUGUACCCUUGCCAGACUCUUCUAAACACAAAGUUUUUGUCCCACGACACUCGCGGCUGUGACUCAAGACUUGGCGCGUUAAAGACACUCAACCCCAAGCCCCUGAGCGGUGAUCGUGGGAUGUACCCUCCAGCUCAUUUACACCAGCAGACACAUGCACGCAAACGUGGUGUUUACCUGUCUCCUCCAGUUUGGACAGCGAGACAGAAGUUGAGACCCCAACCUACAACAUUUAAGCCUGGUCAGACCUGGCUUUGGGGAAUUUAUAAAGGGACCUCCAUCUUGACUGUUUCACGAGUAAAAGGAAAAAAAAAAAAACUAACACAGCCCUUCACCCCAACCUCUGGGACCGUUUUUCCCCAGUCCUGCUGCUGAACCCCCUACUCCAUUGGGACAGGCGCUUUGCUUUACACACUCCUAGGCGCCUGGGGCACCCAAGUCUGCUCUAGGUCGGAGGUCCAGUUUGGGGAAAAGUGGUAGGUGGCUGCCUGGCGUUUCGGGGCUUUUAUUCAAGAUCUUUGCUGAUGUCCAAGUUCAUCUCUCAGGGAAACCGAAUUUGAAUCAAGUCUGCGUGAGCUCAGGUGUCAAAUCUGUAACCCCAUCACUCCAAACAAUGGGCAGCCGUGAAAGACAGAACAGUAACCUUCAUUUUGAUCGAGGGGGGUUAAUUGAAAAGGGCAAGGGCUUUGAUUGAAGUUUGAGGCCCGGGUGUAAGGGCGGGGAGAAGAGGAGGAGGGGUGGAUAGCUCUCUAUUCAGCUACACAUCAGCCAGGUUGCCCUUCAGCUGUGGCGGCUUCUAGCUGCCUGCUGCUCAUUAUUUGGAGUUGCCAAAAUGUGUCUGCACCUCAUUGUGCACCCCAAAGCCCAAAGACAUCCCACCAGUGCACGCAGCUCCUUGACUCCACACGUUUCUCAGAGGCAGGGAAGAAGAAGCUGCCUUCAUUAGGCAUCUCUCCAAUACACACACACACACACACACACACACACACACCAUCACACAAGACACAGAUUUCUAGUUCAGUAUAUCAGUUUACAUUUGGUUGUUGAGUAAACAAAGCAAACAUAUGUCCCAUUUUCAUGGCAGAUGGUUCAAACCAAGACCCUACUUUUCUUUCUCCAGCAGUCGUAAGUCAGACUUACAGGAUUGAUUAAUCAGAGAUAUGAUUAAGUCUUCCAGUCAGUUUCUUUGCUUUAAAGAAGUUUAUUCCCAUAUUCUCACACAUGAGCUAGAACAAGAAGAUUUUGGUGAUAGGAAGGCUGAAAGGAAAUUAAGAGUUUAUCUGAAGGUUGUGUUUCAUCAUAAAUGCUCAAAACAUAAAACCCUCUUUCACCAUUUUACUUUAUAAGUGGAAUUGUAGGUCUUCCUUUGUAGGAUCUUUGUAUGCAAUUCCACUCUUCAGUAGGUGGUCUGGAGUGCCUAUCACUGUGACCACUUGGGAUGGUUGGAUGACAAUGAGGUUUCCUUUAAGAUAUCGUUCACAUAUUUCAUAAGUUCUUGGUUUAUGAAAGACUCCAUGUUACCCUAUAUAUUCCACAGACAUCUUCUAAAUCAAAUUUUAAUAGAGUAGAAGAAGAAAGGUGGACUAAAAGUUCUCCAAAAGAAAGAUAUGAAGCCUCUUUUAAAACACUAACAGCUUCAAGAAUAUUUCAGACCCAUUCGCUCAAACUAACCUUUAUUAAAUUCUUACUCAUGAUGAAAACAGAAUUUGUAUUUCAAAAUAAAAAUUAUAAACCACCAGCUGCUGUAACUGUGUUAUCCAAUGCAAUAGUCAUUAGCCAUGUGGCUACUUCGAUGAAAUUAAUUAAAUUUAAAUACAUGAAAAAUGUAGUUUCUUGGUACCACUAAUCAAUAGCCACAUGUGGCUAAUAGCUGCCAUAUUGGACAACACAGAUAUAGAACAUUUCUGUCAUCAUGGAAAGUUCUAUGAGCAGCACUACCCUCUAAUGUUGGUAUGAGGUUAAUAUGGUGCAUAUAUAACAGUUCUUAGAAUAGCAGAUUUGCACAGUCAUAAAGUGAGUGCUUUACAAGCAGCAGCAGUAGUGGGAGAUACUUUUGUGGAAAUAAUGACAAUAUAAUGUUCAUGUAGAUAAUGAUGAUGAUACUCAGUUACUCUCUUGAGGAAGUUGAAAAAUCCAAGAAGACACAGCCAAUGCCAGAUAUGUUCUCCACUCGGGAUGAGAUCAGUAGGCAAAAAAGCCAAGCAGUAGAGGAAUGGAUAUGUCAAAAGCUCAUCCCUGCCAGGAGAACUAUGAAUGCUACAAGCCAUUUAACAGUCCAGCCUCCCUACUCGGAAGAUGCAUGACUUGGAGAUGCCUGGCUGGCAAGGCAUGGGUGUGUUAGAAGGAGAAGUGUUAUUUCAGCAGACUUGCCACAGAGGCUUCCUUGAGAAAUCAUCUUCAAUUGCUGAACAAAAGAAAUUUGAAUUCAUUGAUAAGUUCAUCCCCUCAGCUGGAGUAUGAGAAAGUGUCAGAGAAGCUGAUUUGUGCUCAAAUUUGCUAUUUCCUGAGAAUGUAAACACUUAUUAGCACAAUUAGAAUUUUGGUGCAUGGUAGGCAGAGGGUGACUAUGUACAAACUCCCAAAAGAAACCAUGAACACUGACUCUCUGAUGAGCUUCCUUAAGGGCAUUCUGUGUGACUCCCCUAGCAGAGGAUCCUGGGAAGCCUCUGGGCUUAGCCUCAUGCACAUUUUCUUUUGCUAUAUUUGCUUUGUCACCUUUCUCUGUGACAAACCACAGCCACAAAUACAUAUUUGUGCUGAAUCCUAUGAGCCCUCCUAGAGAGUCACCAAACCCGGGGGUAGUUUUGGGUACUCCCAACAAAGAAAUAUUCUAAAUGCAGUUCAUGAAAUGAACCCUGGUGGUGGUGUGAAAUUGUAAAGGUUUGCCUUGCACAGGUCAAAGCAAGGCUGGCAUUAUAAACAUGGAGAUUCAUGCAAGCACUUGGGAUCCCCAUGUUUGAGAGGGCCUUAAGUUUGGUUUAAUGCUCUGAUGUCACCAUUUUGAAAGUCUUAAUACUUUGUGCUCAGAGUCUUGUGUUGUCACUUUGCCCUGGGCCCAGCAAAUUGUAUUCCUGAUCCUGGGUCAAGGUGGUACUUAGAGAUAAAAUGAAACAUGUGGUUGCUCCAAAUGCUUCCUCUCUUGCCACUAGGAGUUUUUUCACUCAGCUUUCUACAGGGUCAAAAAAAAAAAUCUACUUAUUAUAGAUUCACUUUGUAGAGGAAGGUGUCCCAGGUGUGUUAAAUGGCUAUUAGUUUCUUAGAGAAAACUUGUUUACUCAUUUGCUCACUGCAUAGUCCCCUCCUUAACCCUUUGUUGAAUUCAAGAUCCUAAGUUAGCAUUUUCCAUAAUCUGAUCUCUAGAAUAGUGA
Molecule: long non-coding RNA, 3412 nt
Organism: Fukomys damarensis (Damara mole-rat)
Lineage: Eukaryota; Metazoa; Chordata; Mammalia; Rodentia; Bathyergidae
Exons: 3
Source: RefSeq, a predicted model, not a curated record